RNAcentral lists this ribosomal RNA (253 nucleotides) under uncultured bacterium. RNAcentral describes it as "partial 16S ribosomal RNA". It matches the Rfam family "Bacterial small subunit ribosomal RNA", at positions 524 to 776 of the family's 1533-position model. The record is from RNAcentral.
UACGUAGGGCGCAAGCGUUGUCCGGAAUUAUUGGGCGUAAAGAGCUCGUAGGCGGCCAGUUGCGUCUGCUGUGAAAUCCCGGGGCUCAACCCCGGGCGUGCAGUGGAUACGGGCUGGCUAGAGGCAGGCAGGGGAGAACGGAAUUCCCGGUGUAGCGGUGAAAUGCGCAGAUAUCGGGAGGAACACCGGUGGCGAAGGCGGUUCUCUGGGCCUGUACUGACGCUGAGGAGCGAAAGCUAGGGGAGCAAACGGG